Molecule: non-coding RNA, 46 nt
Organism: Schistosoma haematobium
Lineage: Eukaryota; Metazoa; Platyhelminthes; Trematoda; Strigeidida; Schistosomatidae
Source: Rfam
GCACUGCUGAGGAGUCGCAUGCCAGGACGAAACGGCCGUCCAGUGC